RNAcentral lists this ribosomal RNA (433 nucleotides) under uncultured bacterium. Its description in RNAcentral is "partial 16S ribosomal RNA". It matches the Rfam family "Bacterial small subunit ribosomal RNA", at positions 29 to 507 of the family's 1533-position model. The record is from RNAcentral.
AACGAAUGCUGGCGGCAGGCUUAACACAUGCAAGUCGAGCGCAUCCUUCGGGGUGAGCGGCGGACGGGUGAGUAACGCGUGGGAACGUGCCCUCUUCUACGGAAUAGCCUCGGGAAACUGAGAGUAAUGCCGUAUACGCCCGCAAGGGGAAAGAUUUAUCGGAGGAGGAUCGGCCCGCGUUGGAUUAGGUAGUUGGUGGGGUAACGGCCUACCAAGCCGACGAUCCAUAGCUGGUUUGAGAGGAUGAUCAGCCACACUGGGACUGAGACACGGCCCAGACUCCUACGGGAGGCAGCAGUGGGGAAUCUUGGACAAUGGGGGCAACCCUGAUCCAGCCAUGCCGCGUGAUCGAUGAAGGCCUUAGGGUUGUAAAGAUCUUUCAGCUGGGAAGAUAAUGACGGUACCAGCAGAAGAAGCCCCGGCUAACUCCGUG